This 929-nucleotide ribosomal RNA is filed under the name uncultured bacterium. Its description in RNAcentral is "bacterial SSU rRNA". It matches the Rfam family "Bacterial small subunit ribosomal RNA", at positions 57 to 991 of the family's 1533-position model. The record is from RNAcentral.
GCAAGUCGUACGCAUCUUUUCAGCAAUGAAAAAAUGAGUGGCGGACGGGUGAGUAACACGUAAGAAUCUUCCGGAAGGAGAGGUAUAACCUUUGGAAACGAUGGGUAAUCCCUUAUAUGACGUUAGUUGAAAUGGCGCUUCAAUUUAUUGAUGCGUCGCCUUUUGAUGAGCUUGCGUCUGAUUAGCUAGUUGGUGAGGUAAAGGCUCACCAAGGCGACGAUCAGUAGCUGGUUUGAGAGAAUGAUCAGCCACACUGGGACUGAGACACGGCCCAGACUCCUACGGGAGGCAGCAGUGAGGAAUUUUUCGCAAUGGGCGCAGGCCUGACGGAGCAAUACUGCGUGGAGGAUGAAGGCUCGUGGGCUGUAAACUCCUUUUCCUCGAGAAGAAGUUCUGACGGUAUCGGGGGAAUAAGCAUCAGCUAACUGCGUGCCAGCAGCUGCGGUAAUACGUGGGAUGCAAGCGUUAUCCGGAUUUAUUGGGCGUAAAGCGUCUGUAGGUGGCUUCGCAAGUUUGUUGUUAAAUCAUUCAGCUUAACUGAAUUCAAGCAGCAAAAACUACGAAGCUUGAGUGCGGUAGAGGAAGAGGGAAUUCCCUGUGGAGCGGUGAAAUGCGUAGAGAUAGGGAAGAACACCAACGGCGAAAGCACUCUUCUGGGCCUGCACUGACACUAAGAGACGAAAGCUAGGGGAGCGAGUAGGAUUAGAUACCCUAUUAGUCCUAGCCGUAAACGAUGGAAACUACAUUUUGGGGCUCUAUGGCCUUUGGCCAGUAUUCUUCAGAAUGGUAGCUAACGCGUUAAGUUUCCCGCCUGGGAAGUAUGCUCGCAAGAGUGAAACUCAAAGGAAUUGACGGGAGCCCGCACAAGCGGUGGAGCAUGUGGUUUAAUUCGAUGCACACGAAGAACCUUACCAGGGCUUGACAUGUCA